AAAAAUCUCCCGGAAUCGGCGAUAUUGAAGAAUUGGGCGGGCACGCACUGAAUGCACUUGAGGCACUUCUCUAACGGUCGUGGACUUCUCAACUCGAGCAAAGCGAGCGAAGUUUGGCCACAGCACUCCUGACCUCUACCCAAGGCGCCAUAGCAGUCCUGAGCUCAACCCAAGAGACAAUAGCAGGCACAUUAUUACUGAGGCACAUCAGCUCUGAGAUUCAUCCAUUAAGGCAUGCCAGCAGUGAGAUCCACACAUCAAGCAACACCAGCACUGAGAUGAAGUCAUGCCAGCUCUGAGAUCCAUAGACCAAGCCAUGCUGCACCUUCUCUAGUCCCAUCAAAGCAUACUGAGCCACACCAGGGAGCAGACAUCUAGUUUGCAAACAUCGGCUGUGAGGCGUAACCGUCUGAUGUCUGCGGCCACAGAAAAGGACAUUGAUUCCAAAAGAUUGCUAUAUCUGGCCCCAGAUAGUGAUGGUGGCAGGAGAGAGAGGAUGAAGAGAAAAGAGCGUCAGGAGAGUACAACAGGUUAACGGACUUGCGACUUGUUUUAAUGUUCAAGAGUUGUGUGCACAGUGCCACUUUUUCAUGAACUGAAACAUAGAUGUUCAAGAGCUGUGUGAAACAUGGCACUGACA
Megalobrama amblycephala (Wuchang bream) is the source of this 640-nucleotide long non-coding RNA. RefSeq lists it as uncharacterized. Lineage: Eukaryota; Metazoa; Chordata; Actinopteri; Cypriniformes; Xenocyprididae. The record is from RefSeq and is a predicted model, not a curated record. The transcript is spliced from 3 exons.